UUCAUUUAAAUGCCAACAAUAUCUUUUAUCUGAGAAAACUUUGAAUUACUUUAGCUCCGAGGCUUUUGUAUGUUAGAAGGAGGCACUUUUCUUAUCCUUAAUGGACUAAAAUGAAGAAGAACGAAUAGCAAAACAAAGAAAAUUGCCAGUGGAGGAGGCUGUAUCUAACAAGAGAACGAUUUUCGGAUGAUAAAUAGUGGGAAGCAGACAUGUUGGCCGCAUUAAAGAUUGCGAGCCAAUGUCGAAAGUGAGAUACGUCCAUUCGAUAGCUGCUACUCUCAAGAGAAAGACAGAAAAAAAAGUCCUUUAACUUCCCAACUAACAUAAGAAUGGAAAAUUCAAGAUAAAGGCAGAAAAAAUAUUAUUGGAAAAAAAGCUUG
Hermetia illucens (black soldier fly) is the source of this 380-nucleotide long non-coding RNA. RefSeq lists it as uncharacterized. The transcript is spliced from 3 exons. The record is from RefSeq and is a predicted model, not a curated record. Lineage: Eukaryota; Metazoa; Arthropoda; Insecta; Diptera; Stratiomyidae.